Molecule: ribosomal RNA, 495 nt
Filed under: uncultured bacterium
Lineage: Bacteria
Description: partial 16S ribosomal RNA
Rfam family: Bacterial small subunit ribosomal RNA
Source: RNAcentral
GAUGAACGCUGGCGGCGUGCCUAAUACAUGCAUGUAGAACGCUGAAGGAGGAGCUUGCUCUUCUGGAUGAGUUGCGAACGGGUGAGUAACGCGUAGGUAACCUGCCUGGUAGCGGGGGAUAACUAUUGGAAACGAUAGCUAAUACCGCAUGACAACAGUUAUUGCAUGAUAACUGUUUAAAAGGGGCAACUGCUCCACUACCAGAUGGACCUGCGUUGUAUUAGCUAGUUGGUGAGGUAACGGCUCACCAAGGCGACGAUACAUAGCCGACCUGAGAGGGUGAUCGGCCACACUGGGACUGAGACACGGCCCAGACUCCUACGGGAGGCAGCAGUAGGGAAUCUUCGGCAAUGGACGGAAGUCUGACCGAGCAACGCCGCGUGAGUGAAGAAGGUUUUCGGAUCGUAAAGCUCUGUUGUAAGAGAAGAACGAGUGUGAGAGUGGAAAGUUCACACUGUGACGGUAUCUUACCAGAAAGGGACGGCUAACUACGUG